UACGAAGGGUGCAAGCGUUACUCGGAAUUACUGGGCGUAAAGCGUGCGCAGGCGGUUGGUUAAGUCUGAUGUGAAAGCCCCGAGCUCAACUUGGGGAUGGCAUUGGAAACUGGCUGGCUAGAGUGUGGCAGAGGGGGGUGGAAUUCCGCGUGUAGCAGUGAAAUGCGUAGAGAUGCGGAGGAACACCGAUGGCGAAGGCAGCCCCCUGGGCUGACACUGACACUCAGGCACGAAAGCGUGGGGAGCAAACAGG
RNAcentral lists this ribosomal RNA (253 nucleotides) under uncultured bacterium. RNAcentral's name for it is "partial 16S ribosomal RNA". It matches the Rfam family "Bacterial small subunit ribosomal RNA", at positions 524 to 776 of the family's 1533-position model. The record is from RNAcentral.